This 558-nucleotide ribosomal RNA is filed under the name Triticum aestivum (bread wheat). RNAcentral describes it as "partial small subunit ribosomal RNA". Lineage: Eukaryota; Viridiplantae; Streptophyta; Magnoliopsida; Poales; Poaceae. The record is from RNAcentral.
AUGAGAACUUUGUGCUAGAACUGUCGCGGGAUUGGCGACCCAAUGACAGUACAUGCGCUCCGCGAUCUCGUGGGGGCCAGUGCGCUGUCGGUUCUUUGCAUUGUCGAGACUCGGAUUGUGAAGAAUCGAGUGGAAGGUUUGGCGGCUUCUUUAGGUUUUCAGAGUAGUUUCACAGUAGCUAGUAGUGGGCGUAGUGGAGGUUUAUGUAUUUUUUGGAAGUCAGAAGUCAAUUUGGUAAUAAAGAAUUUCUCUCAGUAUCACAUUGAUUCUUGGGUCUCGGAACAAGGUGGGGAGCAGUGGCGCCUUACUUGCUUCUAUGACGAGGCUAAUCGAAGUUUGAGAUACAAAACUUGGGAUACUAUGAAAAGGUUGAGAGGUGAAAGCACUCUUCCGUGGUUAUGCAUCGGGGAUUUUAAUGAAAUCUUGCAUCAGGAGGAGCAGAUGGGCCCCAACACAUGAGACAGUGCACAAAUCGAAGGGUUCAGAGAAGCAGUUGACGUCUGCGGCCUGUCGAUCUUGGGUACAAAGGGCUGGGCUGGACAUGGGAGAAAAGGGUGA